UACGAAGGGUGCAAGCGUUACUCGGAAUUACUGGGCGUAAAGCGUGCGUAGGCGGUUCGUUAAGUCUGUCGUGAAAGCCCUGGGCUCAACCUGGGAAUUGCGAUGGAUACUGGCGAGCUAGAGUACGGUAGAGGAUGGUGGAAUUCCCGGUGUAGCGGUGAAAUGCGUAGAGAUCGGGAGGAACACCCGUGGCGAAGGCGGCCAUCUGGACCAGUACUGACGCUGAGGCACGGAAAAGCGUGGGGGAGCAAACAGG
Molecule: ribosomal RNA, 256 nt
Filed under: uncultured bacterium
Lineage: Bacteria
Description: partial 16S ribosomal RNA
Rfam family: Bacterial small subunit ribosomal RNA
Source: RNAcentral